AUACGGAGGAUGCGAGCGUUAUCCGGAUUUAUUGGGUUUAAAGGGUGCGUAGGCGGCGCGAAAAGUCAGCGGUCAAAGUUCCGGGCUCAACCCGGUGACGCCGUUGAAACUUUCGGGCUGGAGUUCGUGCGAGGGAGGCGGAAUGCGUUGUGUAGCGGUGAAAUGCAUAGAUAUGACGCAGAACCCCGAUUGCGAAGGCAGCUUUCCAGCACGCGACUGACGCUGAGGCACGAAAGCGUGGGGAGCGAACAGGAUUAGAUACCCUGGUAGUCCACGCGGUAAACGAUGAAUACUAGCCCUGCGGCGCGAAUGAGUGCUGCGGGGCAGAGUGAAAACGUUAAGUAUUCCACCUGGGGAGUACGCCGGCAACGGUGAAACUCAAAUGAAUUGGCGGGG
This 396-nucleotide ribosomal RNA is filed under the name uncultured bacterium. Its description in RNAcentral is "partial 16S ribosomal RNA". It matches the Rfam family "Bacterial small subunit ribosomal RNA", at positions 523 to 918 of the family's 1533-position model. The record is from RNAcentral.